This 498-nucleotide ribosomal RNA is filed under the name uncultured bacterium. RNAcentral describes it as "partial 16S ribosomal RNA". It matches the Rfam family "Bacterial small subunit ribosomal RNA", at positions 30 to 523 of the family's 1533-position model. The record is from RNAcentral.
AUUGAACGCUGGCGGCAUGCCUUACACAUGCAAGUCGAACGGUAACAGGUCUUCGGAUGCUGACGAGUGGCGAACGGGUGAGUAAUACAUCGGAACGUGCCUAGUAGUGGGGGAUAACUACUCGAAAGAGUGGCUAAUACCGCAUGAGAUCUACGGAUGAAAGCAGGGGAUAGCAAGACCUUGUGCUACUAGAGCGGCCGAUGGCAGAUUAGGUAGUUGGUGGAAUAAAAGCUUACCAAGCCGACGAUCUGUAGCUGGUCUGAGAGGACGAUCAGCCGCACUGGGACUGAGACACGGCCCAGACUCCUACGGGAGGCAGCAGUGGGGAAUUUUGGACAAUGGGCGCAAGCCUGAUCCAGCAAUGCCGCGUGCAGGAUGAAGGCCUUCGGGUUGUAAACUGCUUUUGUACGGAACGAAAAGCCCUGGGUUAAUACCCUGGGGUCAUGACGGUACCGUAAGAAUAAGCACCGGCUAACUACGUGCCAGCAGCCGCCGUAA